Non-coding RNA from Myotis lucifugus (little brown bat), 72 nucleotides. The record is from Rfam. NCBI's taxonomy places the organism in Eukaryota, Metazoa, Chordata, Mammalia, Chiroptera, Vespertilionidae.
GCUGGUGUGGCUCAGUGGUUGAGCGUCAUCCCAUUCACCCAGAGGUCCCGGGUUCGAUUCCCGGUUAAAGCA